Molecule: long non-coding RNA, 962 nt
Organism: Coregonus clupeaformis (lake whitefish)
Lineage: Eukaryota; Metazoa; Chordata; Actinopteri; Salmoniformes; Salmonidae
Exons: 2
Source: RefSeq, a predicted model, not a curated record
UGUGAAUAUAUGUCUUAAGACGGCAUAUAGAUGAAUAUAUUUGUUAGAUGAAUGAACUGGGGAUAUUGGUUAGGUGACGGGGCGUACAGGUGAAUGGGGUAUAGGUGACAAUAUGAAUGGACAGCAUAUAGGUUAACAUAUUUGGUAGAUGAUUCUCCCUCAGGAUGUCUGUGUCUGACUUUGACUUCAUUUUGUUGUACAGAUUUUAACUGUUCUAAUGGCAUUCAGGUAGGCUAGCGAUCUGAAGUCUCUCUCUAGUGCUGUAUGUCUGUGACCUCCGACCCCUGAUGAACACAGAUUAACUUCCUCUUACCCCUUUUGUUGUUGUUGUUUUCCUCCGUCCCGUUCCAGAUCUGCCUUCUUCAUGUGCAAUAUGUGUGUUGAUGACGAUGCCGAAACUCUGACGUAAAUACAGUCCGAUCUUCAAUUAUUACGUUGGACAGUUUUCUCACAUAACUUUGUUUUAUGUUAGCGUGUUCAUGUCAGCGAGUCAGGGCUCCAUCAUGUGCCAAUCCCCUUCACGGAAACGCAGGAUUCUUACCUGUGAUGUAAUCGCAUAGGCUAUAUAUAAAUGCUGUAAAUAACAGUUUAUGAAGUGUUACUUGAUUCUAUGUAAUUAUUACAAUGAGGACUAUUUUAAUUAUUUCAUGUUAUUUGCUGUGGUUUGUAGUUGAAUCAUCUUGUUCUCUCAUUUUCAUAGUGUUAUUGAAGGCCCAAAACAUGUAGGCCUACAGUUCAAACAGAGAGGGAUAAAACCAAAAUGCUACUUCAACAUAAAAUUGAUACUAAUUCUGACAACUGAAACAAAGAUUGAAGUUGAUUAAAUAUUUAGUUUUUGUUGUAGAAGGUGUAGACCAGUGGUGGUCUGUGUGUGUUCUCUAAAUGCUGUAUAGAUCCUUCUGGAAAGAGAACACACUGAUAAAAAUAUGUAUUUUUCGUGAAAUAAAUUUGGUUAAAGGAGA